RNAcentral lists this transfer RNA (84 nucleotides) under candidate division TA06 bacterium DG_26. RNAcentral's name for it is "tRNA-Leu". It matches the Rfam family "tRNA". From Rfam's summary of the family: Transfer RNA (tRNA) molecules are approximately 80 nucleotides in length. Their secondary structure includes four short double-helical elements and three loops (D, anti-codon, and T loops). RNAcentral also lists the same sequence under 1 other name. The record is from RNAcentral.
GCCGGGGUGGCGGAAUUGGCAGACGCGCUAGCUUGAGGGGCUAGUGCCCGUAAGGGUGUAGGGGUUCGAGUCCCCUCCCCGGCA